RNAcentral lists this non-coding RNA (27 nucleotides) under Rattus norvegicus (Norway rat). The record is from RNAcentral. Lineage: Eukaryota; Metazoa; Chordata; Mammalia; Rodentia; Muridae.
UAAACCAGAAGAAGGUGCUAAGACGGC